GAGGUGUGCCAUCCAUGCAUUGUGACCCUCGACCUCACAAAGGGCGUGACCCUUCCCCACAGCCCCAGCAUCAAAGGAGGGGCAGCUCAGUCCUAUGCUUCUCCUGCCUGAAAUGGUUCCAGAUGUGGGGACUGCAGGGGCCUGUGGAAGAUGCAGGGUGAUGUUCGGCACAUGGCUGGGUUUCUUCCUGGAGGCUGCCCUGAGGGAGGGCCAUCUACCUCCCUUUCCUGGCACCUGAGUAUGACCAUGGGGAACUCCGGAAGAGGCAAUAAUGAAUGUGGCCUCUGGAUAGAGAAGGUACCAGCCAGCAAGGUUCUCCCCUCUGCUCUCCACUCCUCAACCCUCAGAUCUGGGGUCCGGUUGUGGGAACAACAGCUUGAAUUACGGAAAGAAGUUUCCCCACUGAGUUAAUCUGCAGUGGCUGGAGGUGACCUUCUGGAGACGGCGAUUAAUCACGGGCCGUGGCGGGCGCCGCGCCACGCCGGGCCCUUUGGGGGAAUACUAAUUCCACUACAAGAUAAAUCAUAAUUUGACAAUAAUCAUCUGCCCUAAUCACUCCAAUUCUUCUGUUUAAUUAUUUGUAUACACCGUGUUUCUUCAGCGAGGACCCCUUGUGCCUGUGGGUAGGGAGAGGACAGCCGCCUGGGCGCAGACCCCACUUUGGCCCCUUGGCCUCUUGGCCCUGCUGGUAUGCCUGGGGAGGCCUGACUCCCAGCUGCUCGGGAGAACAUGGGAGCUUGGCGUUAUGGCAGCACCACCAGGGAAACUGAGACUCAGAGAGAGGCCGGGCCUCGUCUGAGGUCCCAUGGCAAGCUUCGUGGGAGCCAGGCUGAAGACUAAGGCUUCAACGUUUAGUCCUAGGCUGUACCCCAUGCUCCCCCUUGCUGAAGAAUGGUUCGGAGCGCCUCCCUUUCACUGCCCUACUCGCUGACCUCUGUGCCCAGUCUCCUGUGAAAGCUGGUCCCACCCUCCAUCUGCCAGCACCGACAGGAUUGCUGCCUGCUUCCAUUCCCCUUCCCCCGCCCUGGGCCCGCCUGUCCACUCAGGACACGAUCAUGAAGGGUUGUGGGCAUCUGAGCAGGCCCCCAUCUUCCAGGGGUGACCACUGGCAGUUGAUGGGACCUCUCUGUAGCCUUUAUCUGUGAGUUGGGUGGGGCCCUCUCUCUCCCAGGAUCACAGAGACCUGGCCUUAUGCCAGAUCCAUAGGGGUUCUCACAGAGGCUUACUGCUGCCCCUUCCUAUUCUGCUAGGGCCCAGCCACUAGGGUCCUAUAUGUUCUAUCCCCGCCCAGCCUCCCAAAUCUGGCUCCCAGUGCCACCAUGUUUACCCCUUGGGUUGGGCUGCCAGGAGAGUUCCAGGGGCCUGACUCUGCCCCUGAUGGUCCCCCUUGGAGGGGCUGGCUGGGCUGCU
This is a long non-coding RNA of Mustela erminea (ermine), 1410 nucleotides long. RefSeq lists it as uncharacterized. The record is from RefSeq and is a predicted model, not a curated record. Lineage: Eukaryota; Metazoa; Chordata; Mammalia; Carnivora; Mustelidae. The transcript is spliced from 4 exons.